ACGUCUGCUUUACACGCAGAAGGUCUUGGGUUCGAUCCCCAAUAGCUCUA
Molecule: transfer RNA, 50 nt
Organism: Zancudomyces culisetae
Lineage: Eukaryota; Fungi; Kickxellomycota; Harpellomycetes; Harpellales; Legeriomycetaceae
Rfam family: tRNA
About the family: Transfer RNA (tRNA) molecules are approximately 80 nucleotides in length. Their secondary structure includes four short double-helical elements and three loops (D, anti-codon, and T loops).
Source: Rfam